This 220-nucleotide ribosomal RNA is filed under the name uncultured bacterium. Its description in RNAcentral is "partial 16S ribosomal RNA". It matches the Rfam family "Bacterial small subunit ribosomal RNA", at positions 57 to 305 of the family's 1533-position model. The record is from RNAcentral.
GCAAGUCGAGCGCUACCUUCGGGUGGAGCGGCGGACGGGUUAGUAACGCGUGGGAAUAUACCCAGUUCUAAGGAAUAGCCUCUGGAAACGGAGAGUAAUACCGUAUGUGCCCUUCGGGGGAAAGAUUUAUCGCCAUUGGAUUAGCCCGCGUUGGAUUAGGUAGUUGGUGGGGUAAUGGCCUACCAAGCCUACGAUCCAUAGCUGGUUUGAGAGGAUGAUC